Molecule: non-coding RNA, 159 nt
Filed under: candidate division WWE3 bacterium CG_4_9_14_0_2_um_filter_48_10
Lineage: Bacteria; candidate division WWE3
Also listed under: 2 other names
Description: 6S RNA
Rfam family: 6S / SsrS RNA
About the family: E. coli 6S RNA was the first non coding RNA to be sequenced, but its function was unknown until recently. It consists of 184 nucleotides that fold into an extended hairpin structure with a large single-stranded internal bulge. The 6S RNA specifically associates with RNA polymerase holoenzyme containing the sigma70 specificity factor.
Source: RNAcentral
ACUAGCCUGCCUGGUACGUUUAAGUUUCUAUGAGCGACUCCUCAAACCUGCUUAGCAGGGACCCUUACAGAGUCUCUCACUGUGGUGGGGGACUGCGGGGACCCACCUUGAUUUUGUGUGGGAUCGGCUCAUCGUAAACAUCGGCUAGGCGGGCUUGUC